UAGGGAAUCUUCCGCAAUGGGCGAAAGCCUGACGGAGCAACGCCGCGUGAGUGAUGAAGGUCUUCGGAUCGUAAAACUCUGUUAUUAGGGAAGAACAAAUGUGUAAGUAACUAUGCACGUCUUGACGGUACCUAAUCAGAAAGCCACGGCUAACUACGUGCCAGCAGCCGCGGUAAUACGUAGGUGGCAAGCGUUAUCCGGAAUUAUUGGGCGUAAAGCGCGCGUAGGCGGUUUUUUAAGUCUGAUGUGAAAGCCCACGGCUCAACCGUGGAGAGUCAUUGGAAGCUGGAAAACUUGAGUGCAGAAGAGGAAAGUGGAAUUCCAUGUGUAGCGGUGAAAUGCGCAGAGAUAUGGAGGAACACCAGUGGCGAAGGCGACUUUCUGGUCUGUAACUGACGCUGAUGUGCGAAAGCGUGGGGAUCAAACAGG
Molecule: ribosomal RNA, 429 nt
Filed under: Actinomycetes bacterium
Lineage: Bacteria; Bacillati; Actinomycetota; Actinomycetes
Description: Actinobacteria bacterium partial 16S ribosomal RNA
Rfam family: Bacterial small subunit ribosomal RNA
Source: RNAcentral